GCCAGCCCGCUCAGAACUUAAGGAAUUGACGGGGACCCGCACAAGCAGCGGAGCGUGUGGUUAAUUCGAUGCUACACGAAGAACCUUACAAGGUUUGACAUGCAAGUGGUAGUGAUCUGAAAAGUGAACGACCCUUCGGGGAGCUUGCACAGGUGCUGCAUGGCUGUCGUCAGCUCGUGUCGUGAGAUGUUCGGUUAAGUCCGCUAACGAGCGCAGCCCUCACUGUGUGUUAUACGUGUCACACGGGACUGCCGGUUUUAAGCCGGAGGAAGGCGAGGAUGAAGUCAAGUCAGCAUGGCCUUUAUAUCUUGGGCUACACACACGCUACAAUGGUCUGUACAACAGGUUGCCAAGCCGCGAGGCGGAGCCAAUCCUAAAAGCAGGCCUCAGUUCAGAUUGUAGGCUGCAACCCGCCUGCAUGAAGAUGGAGUUGCUAGUAACCGCAGGUCAGCUAUACUGCGGUGAAUACGUUCCCGGGUCUU
This 482-nucleotide ribosomal RNA is filed under the name uncultured Anaerolineaceae bacterium. RNAcentral's name for it is "bacterial SSU rRNA". It matches the Rfam family "Bacterial small subunit ribosomal RNA", at positions 904 to 1382 of the family's 1533-position model. The record is from RNAcentral. Lineage: Bacteria; Bacillati; Chloroflexota; Anaerolineae; Anaerolineales; Anaerolineaceae.